UGCAUGUCUAAGUACAUGCCGUAUUAAGGCGAAACCGCGAAUGGCUCAUUAAAUCAGUUAUGGUUCCUUGGAUCGUACAUUACUACUUGGAUAACUGUGGCAAUUCUAGAGCUAAUACAUGCAGCAGAGCUCCGACCUUCGGGGACGAGCGCUUUUAUUAGACCAACCAAUCGGACCUCGUGUCCGUACUUUGUGGUGACUCUGUAUAACUUUGGGCUGAUCGCACGGGCCCGUCCCGGCGACGUAUCCUUCAAGUGUCUGCCUUAUCAACUUUCGAUGGUAGGUUACUCGCCUACCAUGGUCGUAACGGGUAACGGGGAAUCAGGGUUCGAUUCCGGAGAGGGAGCCUGAGAAACGGCUACCACAUCCAAGGAAGGCAGCAGGCGCGCAAAUUACCCACUCCCAGAACGGGGAGGUAGUGACGAAAAAUAACAAUACGGGACUCUUUUGAGACCCCGUAAUUGGAAUGAGUACACUCUAAAUCCUUUAACGAGGAUCCAUUGGAGGGCCAGUCUGGUGCCAGCCGCCGCGGUAAUUCCAGCUCCAAUAGCGUAUAUUAAAGUUGUUGCGGUUAAAAAGCUCGUAGUUGGAUCUCAGUUCCAGACGGGUGGUCCGCCUACCGGUGGUCACUGCCUGUUCUGAACAGCCAGCCGGUUUCUCUUGAUGAUCUUCACCGGUUGUCUUGGGUGACCGGCAAGUUUACUUUGAAAAAAUUAGAGUGCUCAAAGCAGGCGCGACGCCUGAAUAAUGGUGCAUGGAAUAAUGGAAUAGGACCUCGGUUCUAUUUUGUUGGUUUUAGGAACACGAGGUAAUGAUUAAGAGGGACAGACGGGGGCAUUCGUAUUGCGACGCUAGAGGUGAAAUUCUUGGACCGUCGCAAGACGAACUACUGCGAAAGCAUUUGCCAAGAAUGUUUCCAUUAAUCAAGAACGAAAGUUAGAGGUUCGAAGGCGAUCAGAUACCGCCCUAGUUCUAACCAUAAACGAUGCCAGCCAGCGAUCCGGCUGUGUUCCUCAAAUGACACGCCGGGCAGCUUCCGGGAAACCAAAGCUUUUGGGUUCCGGGGGAAGUAUGGUUGCAAAGCUGAAACUUAAAGGAAUUGACGGAAGGGCACCACCAGCAAUGGAGCCUGCGGUUCAAUUUGACUCAACACGGGAAAACUUACCCGGCCCGGACACAGGAAGGAUUGACAGAUUAAGAGCUCUUUCUUGAUUCUGUGAGAAGUGGUGCAUGGCCGUUCUUAGUUG
RNAcentral lists this ribosomal RNA (1247 nucleotides) under Clubiona consensa. RNAcentral describes it as "SSU rRNA". It matches the Rfam family "Eukaryotic small subunit ribosomal RNA", at positions 52 to 1300 of the family's 1831-position model. The record is from RNAcentral. Lineage: Eukaryota; Metazoa; Arthropoda; Arachnida; Araneae; Clubionidae.